GUGAGGAAUAUUGGUCAAUGGGCGCGAGCCUGAACCAGCCAAGUAGCGUGAAGGAUGAAGGUCCUAUGGAUUGUAAACUUCUUUUAUAAGGGAAUAAAGUGAGGGACGUGUCCCUUUUUGUAUGUACCUUAUGAAUAAGGAUCGGCUAACUCCGUGCCAGCAGCCGCGGUAAUACGGAGGAUCCAAGCGUUAUCCGGAUUUAUUGGGUUUAAAGGGAGCGUAGGUUGACAUAUAAGUCAGCUGUGAAAGUUUACGGCUCAACCGUGAAAUUGCAGUUGAUACUGUAUGUCUUGAGUGUACAAGAGGUGGGCGGAAUUCGUGGUGUAGCGGUGAAAUGCUUAGAUAUCACGAAGAACUCCAAUUGCGAAGGCAGCUCACUGGGGUACAACUGACACUGAGGCUCGAAAGUGUGGGUAUCAAACAGGAUUAGAUACCCUAGUAGUCC
This 445-nucleotide ribosomal RNA is filed under the name uncultured bacterium. RNAcentral describes it as "partial 16S ribosomal RNA". It matches the Rfam family "Bacterial small subunit ribosomal RNA", at positions 354 to 796 of the family's 1533-position model. The record is from RNAcentral.